CCUACGGGUGGCAGCAGUGGGGGAUAUUGCACAAUGGGGGAAACCCUGAUGCAGCGACGCCGCGUGGGCGAAGAAGUAUCUCGGUAUGUAAAGCCCUAUCAGCAGGGAAGAAGAAAUGACGGUACCUGAGUAAGAAGCACCGGCUAAAUACGUGCCAGCAGCCGCUGUAAUACGUAUGGUGCAAGCGGUAUCCGGAUGUACUGGGUGUAAAGGGAGCGCAGGCGGCACGGCAAGCCUGAUGUGAAAGCCCGCGGCCCAACCGCGGGACUGCAUUGGGAACUACCGGGCUGGAGUGCCGGAGAGGUAGGCGGAAUUCCUGGUGUAGCGGUGAAAUGCGUAGAUAUUAGGAGGAACACCAGUGGCGAAGGCAGCCUACUGGACGGUGACUGACGCUGAGGCUCGAAGGCGUGGGGAGCAAACAGGAUUAGAUACCCGUGUAGUC
This 442-nucleotide ribosomal RNA is filed under the name uncultured bacterium. RNAcentral describes it as "partial 16S ribosomal RNA". It matches the Rfam family "Bacterial small subunit ribosomal RNA", at positions 338 to 795 of the family's 1533-position model. The record is from RNAcentral.